ACACAGGCCCUUCUCAGGGCUACUAAAUUCUUGAGGUGGAAGAAAAU
Non-coding RNA from Heterocephalus glaber (naked mole-rat), 47 nucleotides. NCBI's taxonomy places the organism in Eukaryota, Metazoa, Chordata, Mammalia, Rodentia, Bathyergidae. The record is from Rfam.